CGAGUGCCACUUCGUGAGCGUGCGCGUUCUCGCUGCCGCCGGUGCUGCUUCCGCCGUCCUCUGCCGCUGGUACCGCUGUCGCCGCCCCGGAUCCUCAGGCCGAGCUGUAGGACGGCCGGCUGCCCAGCAGCGCCGGUACGGAGAGCCGAGCCGCGGGACCGGUGGACAGGCGGGCGGGCCGACAGAUUAAUCUAACAUGGCUGACCAGAGGCAGCGCUCACUCUCUACCUCCGGGGAAUCAUUAUAUCAUGUUCUUGGGCUGGACAAGAAUGCAACUUCGGAUGACAUUAAAAAGUCCUAUCGGAAGCUGGCCCUGAAAUAUCACCCUGACAAGAACCCCGAUAACCCAGAGGCUGCAGACAAGUUUAAGGAGAUUAACAACGCCCACGCCAUCCUGACAGAUGCCACGAAAAGAAACAUUUAUGACAAGUACGGCUCGCUGGGGCUCUAUGUGGCCGAGCAAUUUGGGGAGGAGAACGUCAACACCUACUUCGUACUCUCCAGCUGGUGGGCCAAGGCCCUGUUUGUUGUCUGUGGUCUCCUCACGUGCUGCUACUGCUGCUGCUGUUUGUGCUGUUGCUUUAACUGCUGCUGUGGGAAGUGCAAGCCCAAGGCACCUGAGGGUGAGGAGACGGAGUUCUACGUAUCACCUGAAGACCUGGAGGCACAGCUGCAGUCUGAUGAGAGGGGAGGGCACUGACACUGUGCCGAGAGUGUUUGUGGUGGCAUCUGGGACUGUUGAGGUGUGAACGUGGACACUUGAGAGGCUACAGACACACCGAUCGUCAUACAGCCUGCAUCUGCCACAGAGACCACCCAGCUGACGGCUGACUCCCACCCCAGCUACCACACCGACGGGUUCAACUAAAUUCAGGAGAGGCUGUGAUUAGAGGAUGAAUCAGCACCUGGCCACUGCAACCUUAGAAUCAUGAACUGUAGUCACUGAGAUGGGGAGGCAGCUGUCAACCUGACCUGCUGUGGCUGGUCAGGGCCCCUCCCACCUCCUCUAAGCCCACCCAUCUGUCAAACCUUGAUACAUGAAGUGCGUAGCAUGCAGUAUUUAAAGCAGUGUAGCUACGGUCUUCUGUUUUAUCCUUUUUUUAAUAGCAUGUAUGGGUUAUGUUCAGUGUCUGUGUUGUGGAUGUGCUGCAACUGGGCUGAAUUAACUGGAUGGUAGUGCUUUCUUGGGUUUUCAGCCAAGUGGGUCCAGUGAGGUUCAGCUGUCUCCUUGUGCUUACAGGAGUCAGGUAGGCACCUGGAGCUACAUCUCCAUGUUGGCCUCUGUGUCCUGUGACAUGGUCUAGUCCAUGGCUCUGAUCUCAUCCUCAAGGCUGCAGACAGGGUUCUGAUUCCACCUGCGAAGGAGGGAGCUGGGCCCCAUCCUCCCAGGCACCACCAGCAUCAGUCGUUUGCACAGUGUUCGUGUUGGGAAGCUUUCAUAGGGUCUCUGCAUCAUCACUCGGCCUCGUGACAGGUUUCCUGUGUUAGAUCUGCUAUGGAGAGUGCAGGUAUGCCCCUUCUGAAAGUGGGAGCACACUCUGUGUCAUGUUUCUAUCUUGGGUCUCCUGGCCUUGUGGACUGAGAGCCUAUCAUUGGAGCCAUGUCCCUUGCUGGUGUGUGGGAAAUCAUUUGUCUCUGUUCUGCACCUUUCCAGGUCAAAAGCUGGAUUGACGGGGCCACAGCCUCCUUCCCUCAUUCCUGGGUCAUCUUCCACAUUCCUUCAAGCCAACCUUUUAAAUCUUGUUUUUGGACUUUAGGAACCACAAAUGGUAGCACCUGUCACUUAGUCAUAGUCAGAAAGUCUUUGAGUCUUUGAGCUAUAUGUGGGUGGCAUAUAGCUGCUUGUAAAGAGUUUGAGGCCCAGGAUCCAGAACCUCCUCCCUGUGCUUGCCAGAGCUCCAUCCACCCCCCACUUGCCUUCACUUCCACUUGUCAUCAUCAAUGCCUCUGGCAGAGCUGAAGUGUUGGGUUCUUGGGGUAGGUGACUGGUCCCUGGUGACCCUGGAUCAGAAGGGUUGGCUUCUAGGGAAGCUAUGGUAACAGUCACUUGACCUGGGAUGCCAGCUGCAAGCCACAGAAUUCCUUUGUGAACCUCUCUUUAGUCAGUAUUUCAAUCUUGGUCACAGGGUACCAUGGUGGGUGGAGUUGAAAAACAUGGUUACCAGGGAUUUGGAAACACCUCCCCUCUUACAGUUAGCUGGAUUAGCUGCACCAGACUUCAAUGAGCCAGGUUCCUCCAGAGCCUUCCUGCUGGCUGCUGCUGACCAUCUGCAUUUCCAGUACAGAUGAAGAAGGAGAGAGCUCAUGUGGUGGGCUAAGUGACUCAGACAAACCACCGUGUGUUCCCGAAACUCACUCUGUCCACCUCCUGGCCACAGCUCACCAGGGCCUUCAGGGACCAGAUCAGGCUGACAGGAAGUUGCAAGAAGAGGCAGCAAACCUGGCAGUGAUUGAGGGUACCUAUCCAGGUCCUGGGAACAUUGAUGCCAGGGUUCCUAGCUGGUCCUAUAGGAGAACUGUGUGAGCCAAAAGCUGGUCUCAAGGUCCUUCCCUGGGUUUGUUUUGCUUUAAAGGAUUUUAGGGGUAUUCAUUAACAUACUCAGAAAUAAUUUGCAAACAUCGGGCCUAUGGCUAGAUGUAGUGGGACAUGCCUGUAAUCCCAGCACUAGGAUGACCUUGAGUUGUAGGCUUUGCACAGUAAGACCAUGACUCAAAUCAACCUAGUAGAAGAAUGAGAAAUUCGUUGCUGGACCCAUUGUUGGAACAGUGGAAGAAGAGAGUCCACUGGGCAAUCUGGGGUGCUGGUCUCAGUACACUAGUCUUGGUGCCCUUUUCUACAAUGACCAGGAAUCAGAUUCAGAGUUGUAGGUGAUUGGUGAGUAGAGAGCUGCAAUCUGGUAGCACAUCCCUCCUGCAUGUAGCUCUGUGGCCCUUCCCCUGACAUCCCAGUGAGCCAGGUCCUGAACUAGGACUUGUGCUGUUCGGUGAGAGCACAGAAGUUGAACCUAGUGUCUUUUGGAAUCUGUAAAGCUAAAUAAAUCAUGUUGAACUUGAAACCAUCAAUAUGUAGAACAGUUUCAAGAUGAUAAUAGUGAUUGCCAAGGCCAGUGAACUCCCUGACCUAUCCCUGUAUGCAGAUUUCUUGCAGGGUUUUUACUGUGUUGAUCUAAGGUCUCCUUGAUUUCAUUUGCCCUGACCUAAGCAUAACUGUUGAGUCUCAGGAUCAGCCUAACUAUUCCUGACCAAAUACUAUUAAGACACACACAUACUCCCCAAACUCCUGUACCAGUAAGCAAUGUGGAUGGUGCUGUGGUGUAUUGCCAAGGGAGUGUUGGAGUCUGUGCAUGGAAGUUCAUCCAGUGCAGUGGAUAUCCCUUCAGGACCACUUCUGAGAGACCCUGGGGAUCCAUCUCACCAAGGCUAGAGUGUAGAUUUCUGUUUGUGCCCAAUGAUGUGGUCUUUCUUUGUCUUCCUUUGACUGUAUUUUUAAAUUACUUUAGAUAAUUCUGUGCAAUGUUUAUAACCCUAGUCUUCUGAUGUUUGGUUAACACAGCCAGCACCCAAUGGGGACCUGUUAGAAAAAGAAAUCAGUGCUUACUCUGGUUAGCAGGAAACUUUCCCAAGUUGUUGGUUUCUGGGUUUGUUCCCAACUCAUAAAGCCAGUCAUUUCUCAGAUGUUCAGAUGCCAGGUUUUACUAACAUCAGUGCCCAUUGUCCUGCUGACCCAUGGCUUUUAUUCCAGGUGAACCUUGUGCAAAAGAGCUGCCAUUGUUGCAGCUGGUAGUCUUCAGAGAUGGUGACCUAAUCAUUCAAGCUGUCCCUGGAGGGUCUAGGUGCUGUGGUACGGAGAACUGGUGGGCCAUGACCAUCUUCCUUUGGCCUUCAGUGCACCUUUUAUUGAGGGAUAGCUGUGACAAUGUAAAACAUGACUGAUCUCAUUCUUUUUCCAGUGUUUUGAGCUGUGAACCCAUGUGUCCCAGCACUGGCCUGUUCCUGUUCCUUUUAUUUUGGUUGAGUUAUCCUCCUAUGGAAAUAGCAAAAGCUACAUCUUUACUAUCCUCACAAGCACAGUAUGUGUUGUCAUAUGCUGUGAAUGUGGGCUAUGGUGUGUGUUGGUGUGUGUACAUAUGUGUAUAUGUAUAUAUCACGCAGCAGGCCUGUCAUGCUGCUGUUUGGUGGCAAAGCAACAAGUACAAUAAAAGUCGGCUCCAAAA
Molecule: RNA transcript, 4214 nt
Organism: Mesocricetus auratus (golden hamster)
Lineage: Eukaryota; Metazoa; Chordata; Mammalia; Rodentia; Cricetidae
Gene: Dnajc5
Gene name: DnaJ heat shock protein family (Hsp40) member C5
Exons: 6
Source: RefSeq, a predicted model, not a curated record